UACGUAGGGAGCAAGCGUUGUUCGGAUUUACUGGGCGUAAAGGGCGCGUAGGCGGCGCUGUAAGUCACUUGUGAAAUCCCUGGGCUUAACUCGGAACGGUCAAGUGAUACUGCAGUGCUAGAGUGCGGAAGGGGCAAUCGGAAUUCUUGGUGUAGCGGUGAAAUGCGUAGAUAUCAAGAGGAACACCUGCGGCGAAGGCGGGUUGCUGGGCUGACACUGACGCUGAUGCGCGAAAGCCAGGGGAGCGAACGGG
RNAcentral lists this ribosomal RNA (253 nucleotides) under uncultured bacterium. RNAcentral describes it as "partial 16S ribosomal RNA". It matches the Rfam family "Bacterial small subunit ribosomal RNA", at positions 524 to 776 of the family's 1533-position model. The record is from RNAcentral.